CUGCUCUGCCCACAGUGCCGCCCCUCCAAAGGCAGGAAGCGGGGCUUCUGCUGGUGCGUGGACAAGUACGGGCAGCCCCUCCCGGGCUUCGAUGGGAAGGGCAAAGUCGACGUGCACUGCUACAGCAUGGAGAGCAAGUAAACUGCCCACCACUUAACGUUGAGCUCAAAUACGCCUUAUUUUGCACAAAAGACUGCCAAGGAAAUGAUCAGCAGCUGGCUACAGCCUCAAUUUAUAUUUCUUUUUGUGGUGAAUUGAUUUUUUUCUUAAACCAAAACUUAGAAAGAAAUGUUUGAAAUUCUGAGGUUUCUUCUAAACGGUGCACCUGAGCAUCUUUCCACUUUCCACUGAACCGUGAAACGCAGUUUGAUUUUUCUUGUCGCUUCCUAUAAAAAUACUUGUCAACUCCAGCACAGCACAGCUGGACCUCAUGCUGUCCUGGAAUCUCGCUGCAUUGGACCCUGGGCAUCUGGCCUUGGCGACCAGGCUUUGUCCUCCUCUGUGAAGGCCUCACCGGCUUGUAGAAAGCAGGAAACACCUGUAUCUGGGAUCUAGACACACCACCUGGAGCUCACAUCUGGGGGCAAGGGCCUGGGACCCCUGACAGGCAUUUUGUGUCUUCAAGGGACUGUAAUGUGGAGAUUCAGAGAAUAAGGCAGAGUCUUACUAGUUAUAAAACAAAAAUGACCAAGAAUGUUCUAGGGAACUUGGAGAACCUGUUGUAGCAGGCGUUUCUGACCCUCCUGCAUCGCCAGGCAGUAGGGCCUGGCAGGCCAGUGAGCAGCCUUUUCUGGUGACCCCCAGGGAGGGAGGUGGGAAGGGAUAGCACCUCAUUUCCAGGAGCAUCAGAAUUAAUGGCAGGAUUUGUGUCCUAUGUUGACCAGUUCAAGCUCCAAUCUGUUUUUGAGGAUAAGCUCCUAAAAGGCAAAGGAGGCUUAUUUUCACCCCUCGUGUCUGUCCUGUUGGCACAAUGUUUAAAAAAUGAUAAUUGUAUCUGACGAGGAAAGAGGAAUGGUUUCUUGAGGAGCCCACAUGGGAUCCUGGGAGCACACAGAGUCGCCCCUACUUUUUUUCCUGAUUCACCUAUUUACACAGAUAAUACAUUUUUCAUCAACUGUUACCAUUGUAUGUGUCACAGUCCCAAUGCAAUAGGACCUGUACUAGAGGAUGUUAGCAAGGUUGCUGAGGGUCAGCAUGGCCAGGGGCUUGCACACCAGCCUGCUGUGUCCCCCCUGGGGCCAGCUCUCCAGGUCUGGGGGUGGCGGCAGGGACCCUAGGAGCCUCCAGGUUGGAUGCACAUCGCACUCAGCCCUCCUUGAGAACACAAAGGGUCUCCAGACAUUCUGCCUACCUAUUAGCUUUUCUUUAUUUUUUUAAUUAAGUUUUUGGGAAAAAAAAAAGGUAUUUUUGGAAAGUUUGUCUUGCAAUGUAUUUAUAAAUAGUAAAUAAAGUUUUUACCAUAAAGAGCUGCCCUU
This is a non-coding RNA of Manis javanica (Malayan pangolin), 1475 nucleotides long. NCBI's taxonomy places the organism in Eukaryota, Metazoa, Chordata, Mammalia, Pholidota, Manidae. The record is from RefSeq and is a predicted model, not a curated record.